This is a non-coding RNA of Glossina pallidipes, 188 nucleotides long. Lineage: Eukaryota; Metazoa; Arthropoda; Insecta; Diptera; Glossinidae. The record is from Rfam.
AGGUCCCACCAUCGGAAGCGUGCUAAUGACAACCAGCCUCCGCAAAGUAAUACGUAACGGUGGUCCCGCGGGGUGAGUGGUGGAAGAAGUGCGUGGGGGGGUAGUUUUUAGUACGUAUGCGCCAUGGUUGUCGAAUCGUGCAUGCUGCUACUAAGAACCAGCUUUUGAAGAUUUUCUACCUCCCGCUC